RNAcentral lists this ribosomal RNA (446 nucleotides) under uncultured bacterium. Its description in RNAcentral is "partial 16S ribosomal RNA". It matches the Rfam family "Bacterial small subunit ribosomal RNA", at positions 338 to 795 of the family's 1533-position model. The record is from RNAcentral.
CCUACGGGUGGCAGCAGUCGAGAAUCAUUCACAAUGGGGGCAACCCUGAUGGUGCGACGCCGCGUGGGGGAAUGAAGCUCUUCGGAUUGUAAAUCCCUGUCAUGUGGGAGCAAAUUAAAAAGUUAGUACCACAAGAGGAAGAGACGGCUAACUCUGUGCCAGCAGCCGCGGUAAUACAGAGGUCUCAAGCGUUGUUCGGAAUUACGGGGCGUAAGGCGUGCGUAGGCUGUUUCGUAAGUCGUGUGUGAAAGGCGCGGGCUCAACCCGCGGACGGCACAUGAUACUGGGAGACUAGAGUAAUGGAGGGGGAACCGGAAUUCUCGGUGUAGCAGUGAAAUGCGUAGAUAUCGAGAGGAACACUCGUGGCGAAGGCGGGUUCCUGGACAUUAACUGACGCUGAGGCACGAAGGCCAGGGGAGCGAACGGGAUUAGAUACCCUUGUAGUC